CCUACGGGAGGCUGCAGUGAGGAAUAUUGGUCAAUGGCCGGAAGGCUGAACCAGCCAAGCCGCGUGAGGGAGGAAGGCGCCGAGCGUCGCAGACCUCUUUUGCCGGGGGACAAAAGGCCGGACUCGUCCGGUCCUGAGGGUACCCGGAGAAAAAGCAUCGGCUACCUCCGUGCCAGCAGCCGCGGUAAUACGGAGGAUGCGAGCGUUAUCCGGAUUCAUGGGGUUUAAGGGGUGCGCAGGCGGGCCUUUAAGCCGGCGGUGAAAUCGCGGGGCUGAACCCCGCCGAGCCGUCGGAACUGGGGGCCGUGAGUGCGGCGGAGGCAUGCGGAAUGCGCGGUGUAGCGGGGAAAUGCAUAGAUAUCGCGCAGAAGCCCGAUUGCGAAGGCAGCGUGCCGUGCCGCCACUGACGCGGAGGCACGAAAGCGCGGGGAUCGAACAGGAUUAGAUACCCUUGUAGUC
This 459-nucleotide ribosomal RNA is filed under the name uncultured bacterium. RNAcentral describes it as "partial 16S ribosomal RNA". It matches the Rfam family "Bacterial small subunit ribosomal RNA", at positions 338 to 795 of the family's 1533-position model. The record is from RNAcentral.